AAAUAAAACAUAUGACCAUGGUUUGUUUAUUUGGUCUAUUCAGCAUGGCUCUGUUCUGCCCUGCCUUGCCCCCUUGUGGAGCUCAAAAGUUAGUUUCUUACUGUUAUAACUCAAAUCUGUGAUUUUGUCAAUGCAAUAAACUAUUUUUAUAGCUGUGUUUAUUAUGUUAUUUGUAAUAUUGUUUUAUUGCUAUAUCCUUAUAUUGUAUUCUAAUUAAUAAUUCCUCUUUAUUCUGUACUUUCAGAAACCACAAACAGUAUUUGCCAAUAUCAUAACUGGACAUCUUUCGAGCUGAAGAUUGAGGACAGCUUUUGUAUGCUAACGUUCUCUCCUUAACAGUUUUACUGGAUGGAAACACAGCAAGAAAACACAUAGGCCAAUAUUGACUGAACAACAACUGCAUUUCCACCCCCACCUCUAAAGGCAUAGUAUCAUGGCAGGUCACCUGUCAAGUCACCUGUCAGACAGGCAGACUUUGCAGUGCCUCCGUGUGCGACUACCUUGAGCAGCAGUUUGAGGGACUUUGCAGGGAAAAUGCCGUGCAGUGAGGCGUAGGGGAUUGUCUAAAGCAGGGCGACCCCCAGUGGAGGGGCGCCGAGGGGUGUGGUGCUCCUCCAACAGCUCUCUCAUGAGGUUCUCUCUGUAUUUUUGGUGGUCCACCUUCCCUGUGGCCGACAUGGUUGCUGUAUGGACAGUGGAGAGGACAUGGACGUCUCUUUUGUCAUGCCACUUUACUGCCAGCUGUUGACCGUUCUCCUGGAACUCCACCUCCCCUCUCUGCAUCUUCCUGCAUCCGAAUGCCAGCAUCCCCUUCCUGUUCGACCUGACUGUGCCACAGGCCCCUGUGCUGUUGGAGAGCAGAUGCUGGAAGAGUGUGGGACUGCUGUACCAAUUGUCCACGUACAAAGUGUGUCCCUUGCCGAGAUGAGGAGCCAGCAUGGUCAUCACCACGGACCCAGACACCCCAAGCCCCUCAUAAUGUUUGAUGUCAGUGGUAGACCCUGUGUACACUAUAAUAUCCAGGACAUAUCCUGUCUUCACGUCGCACAUGACAAAGAACUUGACCCCAAACCUGUGCCUUUUGGAGGGAAUAUAUUGACGGAACGCCAGCCUACCUUUCCAUAACAUCAGGGACUCAUCAAUGCAUAGGUCCUUGUAUGGCAC
Molecule: non-coding RNA, 1164 nt
Organism: Salmo salar (Atlantic salmon)
Lineage: Eukaryota; Metazoa; Chordata; Actinopteri; Salmoniformes; Salmonidae
Source: RefSeq, a predicted model, not a curated record